This is a long non-coding RNA of Armigeres subalbatus, 564 nucleotides long. RefSeq lists it as uncharacterized. NCBI's taxonomy places the organism in Eukaryota, Metazoa, Arthropoda, Insecta, Diptera, Culicidae. The record is from RefSeq and is a predicted model, not a curated record. The transcript is spliced from 3 exons.
AUGCACUCCUCAGACUGCCUGGUGCCGAAUCUUAUAGAACGGCUGCAGCAAAGAAUAUGGUCCAUUAUCUCCAGAGCGACUGCUCUACAGAAACAGCGGGGAGCGGACUCUAACCAGUCUCAGCAUGAAAAGCUCCUUUCGUUCCGGCCACGUACAGAGCUCAAACUCAUGGAAUCAAAUGAAAUCCAAGCAACAGGAUGCUACGCUCCAGGCUCCAGAAGGUGAAGCAGGAAAACCAUUCUCAAUACUUCUGCAGAACGGCGCCGCAUCUUUCGGAACCGUAUAGUCACAGCAGAGGAUCCUGCUAGUUCUCUCUAAUACCUCCGGACCAGUGAAGCGAUGUUCCGGUCCCGUUAAGUUAACUUAACUAAUAAUCGAUUGGCCGCUGUAAGCUCGAAUCAUGUCUCUACAAGGAGAGGUUUGCUAACGAUAAUAUUUUUCCGGUACUUGCUGUUAAUGAACCCGGUGCGGCUGGGUUAUGGAUACCUGGUGAUGUGUAUUCUCUGUUCAUAGGUUUGCUCUCCAAUAUUUUCAGAAUGAUAUCAGUACGAUAUCGAUGGUAAU